Molecule: ribosomal RNA, 326 nt
Filed under: uncultured bacterium
Lineage: Bacteria
Description: bacterial SSU rRNA
Rfam family: Bacterial small subunit ribosomal RNA
Source: RNAcentral
ACCAUGCAGUCGAGCGGUAGCACAGAGAACUUGCUCCCUUGUGAGGAGAGUGGGACAGGUGAGUAAUGUCUGGGAAACUGCCUGAUGUAGGGGGAUAUCUACUGGAAACGGUUACUCAUACCCCACAAAGUCCCAACACCUGAGUGGGGGACCUUCUGGCCUCUUGCCAUCUUAUGUGCCCCGAUGGGAUUAUUAUCUAUGUGGGGUAACGGCUCCCUAAGCGACAAUCCCUAUAUGGUCUGAGAGGAUGACCUCCCACACUGGAACUGAGACACGGUCCCCACUCCUACAGGAGGCGCCACUGGGGAAUAUUGCACAAUGGGCGC